This 73-nucleotide transfer RNA is filed under the name Trichonephila inaurata madagascariensis. It matches the Rfam family "tRNA". From Rfam's summary of the family: Transfer RNA (tRNA) molecules are approximately 80 nucleotides in length. Their secondary structure includes four short double-helical elements and three loops (D, anti-codon, and T loops). Lineage: Eukaryota; Metazoa; Arthropoda; Arachnida; Araneae; Nephilidae. The record is from Rfam by way of RNAcentral.
AUCCCUGAAGCGCAGUGGAUAUCGCGUUGGACUUCUAAUCUAAAGCUCGUGGGUUCGAAUCCUACCUGGGAUG